AAAAAAAAAGGUCAUUGAUUUUGCAAUUAGGGCUAAAGGAUUGUGGGUCUGUGCUCCAUUUGAUAGUAAUCUCUUUCCCUUAGAUAGGAAGAGACAGAAAUGAUCCUCAUAGAAUAUUUAUAGUCCAAAUUCUGUCAACAAUGUAAGCAGUCAUAAGAUUUAUAGAUCUUUUAGUUAGAUAUUAUUGAUUUGGUUUUCCUUUACUUUCUAGAUCCUAUGAUUUCUAGAAGUACAUCUACUUGGAGAAUACCCAACAGGAAGAGACGUUUCAGCAGUAGUGACUUUUCAGACCUGAGUAAUGGAGAAGAGCUUCAGGAAACCUGCAGCUCAUCCCUAAGAAGUGGGUCAGGUAAAGAAGAUUAGGAUGCCAAGACUUGGCCUGCAGAAUGUCAGGAAUGUGAAUUAAAAGCUGCUGUUUCCAGACACUUUUUAUUCUGAGCACCUUCACUACCUUGUAUCCAGUUCAUCUGGGAACUCCUUUUUGCAUUUUAGAAAAUGGAAAGAGGCAGGAAGUUAUGAUAAACUCAUGUUUAACAGAAAGAGUUUCACUGACUAAAUGUAUGUAAUUAUAUUUUGCUGUUGUAGAAGAAAUAAAUAGCAAAUUUGUGGUA
This 611-nucleotide small RNA is filed under the name Pongo abelii (Sumatran orangutan). RNAcentral describes it as "retained intron". Lineage: Eukaryota; Metazoa; Chordata; Mammalia; Primates; Hominidae. The record is from RNAcentral.